GUCCCGUACGAGCGCAACCUUGUCCUUAGUUACCAGCACGUUAUGGUGGGCACUCUAAGGAGACUGCCGGUGACAAACCGGAGGAAGGUGGGGAUGACGUCAAGUCAUCAUGGCCCUUACGGCCUGGGCUACACACGUGCUACAAUGGUCGGUACAAAGGGUUGCCAAGCCGCGAGGUGGAGCUAAUCCCAUAAAACCGAAUCGUAGUCCGGAUCGCAGUCUGCAACUCGACUGCGUGAAGUCGGAAUCGCUAGUAAUCGUGAAUCAGAAUGCCACGGUGAAUACGUUCCCGGGCCUU
Molecule: ribosomal RNA, 298 nt
Filed under: uncultured Pseudomonas sp.
Lineage: Bacteria; Pseudomonadati; Pseudomonadota; Gammaproteobacteria; Pseudomonadales; Pseudomonadaceae
Description: partial 16S ribosomal RNA
Rfam family: Bacterial small subunit ribosomal RNA
Source: RNAcentral